GAAAUGCGAUAAGUAAUGUGAAUUGCAGAAUUCAGUGAAUCAUCGAAUCUUUGAACGCACAUUGCGCCCGCCAGCACUCUGGCGGGCAUGCCUGUUCGAGCGUCAUUUCAACCCUCAGAACCCCUUGCGGGAUCUGGCGUUGGGGAUUGGCAUCCAGCCAGCCCCGAAAUCUAGUGGCGGUCCCUCCGCGACCUCCCCUGUGCAGUAGCGAUACCUCGCAGCGGGACAGCGGUCUGACCACGCCGUAAAACCCCCAACUUCUCAAGGUCGACCUCGAAUCAGGUAGGAAUACCCGCUGAACUUAAGC
This 307-nucleotide unclassified non-coding RNA is filed under the name plant metagenome. RNAcentral's name for it is "partial contains 5.8S ribosomal RNA, internal transcribed spacer 2, and large subunit ribosomal RNA". The stretch from base 1 to 105 matches the Rfam family "5.8S ribosomal RNA", at positions 50 to 154 of the family's 154-position model. The record is from RNAcentral.